RNAcentral lists this long non-coding RNA (98 nucleotides) under Pan troglodytes (chimpanzee). RNAcentral describes it as "lincRNA". Lineage: Eukaryota; Metazoa; Chordata; Mammalia; Primates; Hominidae. The record is from RNAcentral.
ACAGCCAACAGGGGGAGCAGUGCGAGCGUGAAGGCAGACAGUGGCCUGGCCCAGUCUGAUGGGAGAGACCCACCGACCCUGUGGGGCUGGUCCCUACA